Molecule: non-coding RNA, 73 nt
Filed under: Leptospira alstonii serovar Pingchang str. 80-412
Lineage: Bacteria; Pseudomonadati; Spirochaetota; Leptospiria; Leptospirales; Leptospiraceae
Also listed under: 1 other name
Source: RNAcentral
GAAAGCCGUAUGCGGAAAAACUGCACGUACGGUUUGAUGUGGCAGGAGAUGGAAACCAGACGUUAACCGCCAU